UGGGGAAUUUUGGACAAUGGGCGAAAGCCUGAUCCAGCAAUGCCGCGUGCAGGAUGAAGGCCUUCGGGUUGUAAACUGCUUUUGUACGGAACGAAAAGUCUCGGGAUAAUACCCUGGGACCAUGACGGUACCGUAAGAAUAAGCACCGGCUAACUACGUGCCAGCAGCCGCGGUAAUACGUAGGGUGCAAGCGUUAAUCGGAAUUACUGGGCGUAAAGCGUGCGCAGGCGGUUAUAUAAGACAGAUGUGAAAUCCCCGGGCUCAACCUGGGAACUGCAUUUGUGACUGUAUAGCUAGAGUACGGUAGAGGGGGAUGGAAUUCCGCGUGUAGCAGUGAAAUGCGUAGAUAUGCGGAGGAACACCGAUGGCGAAGGCAAUCCCCUGGACCUGUACUGACGCU
Molecule: ribosomal RNA, 400 nt
Filed under: uncultured bacterium
Lineage: Bacteria
Description: bacterial SSU rRNA
Rfam family: Bacterial small subunit ribosomal RNA
Source: RNAcentral